RNAcentral lists this transfer RNA (74 nucleotides) under Hallella multisaccharivorax DSM 17128. RNAcentral describes it as "Prevotella multisaccharivorax DSM 17128 tRNA". It matches the Rfam family "tRNA". Rfam says of the family: Transfer RNA (tRNA) molecules are approximately 80 nucleotides in length. Their secondary structure includes four short double-helical elements and three loops (D, anti-codon, and T loops). Lineage: Bacteria; Pseudomonadati; Bacteroidota; Bacteroidia; Bacteroidales; Prevotellaceae. The record is from Rfam by way of RNAcentral. RNAcentral also lists the same sequence under 1 other name.
GGUUCCGUAGCUCAAUUGGAUAGAGCAUCCGCCUCCGGAGCGGACGGUUGCAAGUUCGAGUCUUGUCGGAAUCA